This 917-nucleotide long non-coding RNA is filed under the name Heterocephalus glaber (naked mole-rat). RNAcentral's name for it is "lncRNA (ENSHGLG00000027682.2)". Lineage: Eukaryota; Metazoa; Chordata; Mammalia; Rodentia; Bathyergidae. The record is from RNAcentral.
CAGAGACACCUCUGCCCCAGCCCAGAAGUGCAGGCCACUGAGCCCGACUGUCCCCUCUGGAGCUGUCCUCGCCCAGCACCCGUUUCUGCCUGGAGGAGUGAAGGAGGACCUGAGCUCUGUUCCUGACUGAUGGACGCCUGAGGUGGGCAGUGCAGGCCCCGGCUGGCAGCUGCCACCGACCAGGACCAGGCAGCGAGGGUUUCCUGGAGCCUUUGUGCAGAUGAAACUGAUCAGCAGCAGGGGGAAAAUAGCCGUUGCCUCGGCAACCAGCUGAUGACUCAUCCCGCUUUGAAGCCGCCGCCGCCCAAGCCGUGAGACUGCAGUAAUUUUCCAGACGCUUAACCCGCCCUCCUCCUCCUGCUUUUCUUCUCUCUCUCUCUCCUCCCCCUCCCCUCCCGCUCUCCCUCCUUCAGUGCUCCUACGUCCCCAGCCCCCCUCAGCACCGGGUGGUGCCCACCCGGGUCCCGUGCUCUCUGGAGCAGGCAUGGGGACCCCACCCCUGCACACCCCGGUGACCGGCUGGCUCUGCUGCUGCUCCCGUCCGGGCUGCGGCUGGCGAUCCCUCCAGUCCCCAAGAUGCUGCUUCCCAUCCUCCUUUAGAAAAGCCGGCAGGUUUUCUUCUCGCCUAUCCAACCUGAUCUCCGUCGUUUGUCUCAGGGAUCGACCACCAGCAGUUCCUCUGAAGAGAAAGUUACCCAGUGGGCCUCCCCUCGCUAAGAAAUACAGUAUUGAAGCAAUCAGAGUCAUUGACAUUUGGAACACACAAUAUUAAGGAGUUGAAUUACCUGCUCUAUAACACGAACAUUCAAAAAUGUUGGCUUUGAACUCACUAUGUAGCCCAGGCUGGCCUUGAACUCACGAUGAUCCUCCUUCAGCCUACCGAGUGCCGGGAUCACAGGCGUGCGGCACCAUGCCUG